GACGAACGCUGGCGGCGUGCUUAACACAUGCAAGUCGAACGCUGAAGCUUGGUGCUUGCACUGGGUGGAUGAGUGGCGAACGGGUGGGUAAUACGUGAGUAACCUGCCCUUGACUCUGGGAUAAGCCUGGGAAACUGGGUCUAAUACUGGAUACGACAUGUCACCGCAUGGUGGUGUGUGGAAAGGGUUUUACUGGUUUUGGAUGGGCUCACGGCCUAUCAGCUUGUUGGUGGGGUAAUGGCUCACCAAGGCGACGACGGGUAGCCGGCCUGAGAGGGUGACCGGCCACACUGGGACUGAGACACGGCCCAGACUCCUACGGGAGGCAGCAGUGGGGAAUAUUGCACAAUGGGCGGAAGCCUUAUGCAGCGACGCCGCGUGAGGGAUGACGGCCUUCGGGUUGUAAACCUCUUUCAGCACGGAAGAAGCGAAAGUGACGGUACGUGCAGAAGAAGCGCCGGCUAACUACGUG
Molecule: ribosomal RNA, 472 nt
Filed under: uncultured bacterium
Lineage: Bacteria
Description: partial 16S ribosomal RNA
Rfam family: Bacterial small subunit ribosomal RNA
Source: RNAcentral